GCCUACGGGACGCAGCAGUGGGGGAUAUUGCACAAUGGGGGAAACCCUGAUGCAGCGACGCCGCGUGGGUGAAGAAGCGCCUCGGCGCGUAAAGCCCUGUCAGCAGGGAAGAAAAUGACGGUACCUGAAGAAAAAGCAUCGGCUAACUCCGUGCCAGCAGCCGCGGUAAUACGGAGGAUGCGAGCGUUAUCCGGAUUUAUUGGGUUUAAAGGGUGCGCAGGCGGCCUGUUAAGUCAGCGGUAAAAGCCCGGGGCUCAACCCCGGCGAGCCGUUGAAACUGGCGGGCUGGAGUUGGAGAGAAGUAC
RNAcentral lists this ribosomal RNA (305 nucleotides) under uncultured bacterium. RNAcentral's name for it is "bacterial SSU rRNA". It matches the Rfam family "Bacterial small subunit ribosomal RNA", at positions 337 to 660 of the family's 1533-position model. The record is from RNAcentral.